This 497-nucleotide ribosomal RNA is filed under the name uncultured bacterium. RNAcentral describes it as "partial 16S ribosomal RNA". It matches the Rfam family "Bacterial small subunit ribosomal RNA", at positions 28 to 507 of the family's 1533-position model. The record is from RNAcentral.
GACGAACGCUGGCGGCGUGCCUAAUACAUGCAAGUAGAACGCUGAAGAGAGGAGCUUGCUCUUCUUGGAUGAGUUGCGAACGGGUGAGUAACGCGUAGGUAACCUGCCUGGUAGCGGGGGAUAACUAUUGGAAACGAUAGCUAAUACCGCAUAAAAUGGAUUAUCGCAUGAUAAUCCAUUGAAAGGUGCAAAUGCAUCACUACCAGAUGGACCUGCGUUGUAUUAGCUAGUUGGUGGGGUAACGGCUCACCAAGGCGACGAUACAUAGCCGACCUGAGAGGGUGAUCGGCCACACUGGGACUGAGACACGGCCCAGACUCCUACGGGAGGCAGCAGGAGGGAAGCUUCGGCAAUGGACGGAAGUCUGACCGAGCAACGCCGCGUGAGUGAAGAAGGUUGUCGGAUCGUAAAGCUCUGUUGUAAGAGAAGAACGAGUGUGAGAGUGGAAAGUUCACACUGUGACGGUAUCUUACCAGAAAGGGACGGCUAACUACGUG